GUGGGGAAUAUUCCGCAAUGGACGAAAGUCUGACGGAGCAACGCCGCGUGAGUGAUGAAGGUUUUCGGACUGUAAAGCUCUGUUGUUUAGGACGAAAGUGCCUGUUGCGAACAGUUACAGGUAUUGACGGUACUAAACGAGGAAGCCACGGCUAACUACGUGCCAGCAGCCGCGGUAAUACGUAGGUGGCAAGCGUUGUCCGGAAUUAUUGGGCGUAAAGAGCAUGUAGGCGGAGAUUUAAGUCUGUUGUGAAAAUGCGGGGCUCAACCCCGUAUUGCGAUGGAAACUGAAUUUCUUGAGUGCAGGAGAGGAAAGGGGAAUUCCCAGUGUAGCGGUGAAAUGCGUAGAUAUUGGGAGGAACACCAGUGGCGAAGGCGCCUUUCUGGACUGUGUCUGACGCUGAGAUGCGAAAGCCAGGGUAGCGAACGGGAUUAGAUACCCUUGUAGUCC
This 450-nucleotide ribosomal RNA is filed under the name uncultured bacterium. RNAcentral's name for it is "partial 16S ribosomal RNA". It matches the Rfam family "Bacterial small subunit ribosomal RNA", at positions 354 to 796 of the family's 1533-position model. The record is from RNAcentral.